GGGGCGAAGUCAACUGAUGUCACGCUUCCAAGAAAUGCUUCUAGGGUUAAUUUAGUAAGUGCCCGUACCGAUAACCGACACAGGUAGGCGAGGAGAGAAUCCUAAGAUGAGCGAGAGAACUCUUGUUAAGGAACUCGGCAAAAUGACCCCGUAACUUCGGGAGAAGGGGUGCUUGUGGAAGCAAGCCGCAGUGAAUAGGCCCAGGCGACUGUUUAUCAAAAACACAGGUCUCUGCUAAACCGCAAGGUGACGUAUAGGGGCUGACGCCUGCCCGGUGCUGGAAGGUUAAGAGGAGAGGUUAGCGCAAGCGAAGCUUUGAAUUGAAGCCCCAGUAAACGGCGGCCGUAACGAUAACGGUCCUAAGGUAGCGAAAUUCCUUGUCGGGUAAGUUCCGACCCGCACGAAAGGCGUAACGAUCUGGGCGCUGUCUCAACAAGAGACUCGGUGAAAUCAUAGUACCUGUGAAGAUGCAGGUUACCCGCGACAGGACGGAAAGACCCCGUGGAGCUUUACUGUAGCUUGAUAUUGAGCACUGGUGACACAUGUACAGGAUAGGUAGGAGACGAAGAAGCCAGGAUGCCAGCCUUGGUGGAGUCGCUGUUGGGAUACUACCCUUGUGUUACUGGGGUUCUAACCCGUGGCCAUGAUCUGGUCAGGGAACAGUGUCAGGUGGGCAGUUUGACUGGGGCGGUCGCCUCCCAAAGAGUAACGGAGGCGCCCAAAGGUUCCCUCAGAAUGGUUGGAAAUCAUUCGAAGAGUGUAAAGGCAGAAGGGAGCUUGACUGCGAGACCUACAAGUCGAGCAGGGACGAAAGUCGGGCUUAGUGAUCCGGCGGUACCGAAUGGAAGGGCCGUCGCUCAACGGAUAAAAGCUACCCCGGGGAUAACAGGCUGAUCUCCCCCAAGAGUUCACAUCGACGGGGAGGUUUGGCACCUCGAUGUCGGCUCAUCGCAUCCUGGGGCUGUAGUCGGUCCCAAGGGUUGGGCUGUUCGCCCAUUAAAGCGGUACGCGAGCUGGGUUCAGAACGUCGUGAGACAGUUGUCCCUAUCCGUCGUGGGCGUAGGAAAUUUGAGAGGAGCUGUCCUUGGUACGAGAGGACCGGGAUGGACACACCGCUGGUGUACCAGUUGUUCUGCCAGGAGCAUAGCUGGGUAGCUACGUGUGGACGGGAUAAACGCUGAAAGCAUCUAAGCGUGAAGCCCCCCUCAAGAUGAGAUUUCCCAUUCGAAAGAAGUAAGAUCCCUUGAAGACGACAAGGUAGAUAGGUCAGAAGUGGAAGUGUGGUGACACAUGGAGCGGACUGAUACUAAUCGAUCGAGGACUUAACCGA
Molecule: ribosomal RNA, 1330 nt
Filed under: metagenome
Description: bacterial LSU rRNA
Rfam family: Bacterial large subunit ribosomal RNA
Source: RNAcentral